GAUGAACGCUAGCGGCAGGCUUAACACAUGCAAGUCGAGGGGUAUAUGGUACUUGUAUCAUAGAGACCGGCAAACGGGUGCGGAACACGUACACAACCUACCUUUAUCUGGGGGAUAGCCCAUAGAAAUGUGGAUUAAUACCCCAUAGUAUUGUUGACUGGCAUCAGUUGAUAAUUAAAGAACUUCGGAUAGAGAUGGGU
This 200-nucleotide ribosomal RNA is filed under the name uncultured bacterium. RNAcentral describes it as "partial 16S ribosomal RNA". It matches the Rfam family "Bacterial small subunit ribosomal RNA", at positions 28 to 230 of the family's 1533-position model. The record is from RNAcentral.